Homo sapiens (human) is the source of this 641-nucleotide long non-coding RNA. The record is from Ensembl. NCBI's taxonomy places the organism in Eukaryota, Metazoa, Chordata, Mammalia, Primates, Hominidae.
GCGAGAAUUCGUGGCGCUCCCGGCCAGGCCUUGACCGGAGGCCGGAGCUCCCACCAGGGCCCAGGGCCCGUCGGCCCGCACCAGGGUGUGGUGGGCGCUGGAGCAGCGCGCCGACAGCGCUGACCUCGUCCCAAGCACCAGGAGCUUCCUCACUCUUCUCCCCUACAUGGUCACCGGAGCUUCCCCACGCGAAAGACCUCAUGCACGCGCUCAGGAAGACCGGAACGGCGAAUGCUGAGAAGGUAACGGGAGCCGACCUGACUUGGAAGAGGAAGCAUCGACUCCACGAGCCUCCCCGACUCCUUCGGAUUAGCCUUUGUGGUUGCACCCGCCGCGGCCACCUGCAACGAAUUUAGCUCGGCUUAGGCCCCGCAGCUCAGGUUCCGCGGCCACGUCACGUGACGCGAGGGCGGGGACGCGCUCGGGAGCGAGCGUGGGAGCCUGGAAGCCUCGGUGGGUCCCGAGGCUGCAGCGAGGCCGGGACCGUGCCCUCUGCUGGCGGGACCUGGCGUUUUCCGGCACCCCGCCCCAAAUCCCGGACUCGGUGUUAAGGGAGGUGCAUUGUCCUGAAAUGCUUACAACAGCUGUCUUCAAUAACUCGUGCAUAGAAUGCGCCCAGUAAAUAUGUGUUGACUGCACAA